This 630-nucleotide ribosomal RNA is filed under the name uncultured soil bacterium. Its description in RNAcentral is "bacterial SSU rRNA". It matches the Rfam family "Bacterial small subunit ribosomal RNA", at positions 56 to 711 of the family's 1533-position model. The record is from RNAcentral.
UGCAAGUCGAACGGAGAGCAGCAAUGUUCUUAGUGGCGACCGGGUGCGUAACACGUAGCUGACCUGCCCCCCAGCGGGGGACAACUGCUGGAAACGGCAGCUAAUACCGCAUGAUAGGGCGAGCAACAGAGGCUCGUUCUUAAACUUACGGGGCUGGGGGAGGGGGCUGCGGCCCAUCAGGUAGUUGGUGAGGUAAGAGCUCACCAAGCCGACGACGGGUAGGGGGCCUGAGAGGGUGGUCCCCCACACUGGGACUGACACACGGCCCAGACUCCUACGGGAGGCAGCAGUAAGGGAUAUUGCGCAAUGGGCGAAAGCCUGACGCAGCAACGCCGCGUGCAGGAAGAAGGCCUUCGGGUUGUAAACUGCUUUUGGUACUGAAGAGAGCGGACGGUAGGUAUCGAAGAAGUCACGGCUAACUACGUGCCAGCAGCCGCGGUAAAACGUAGGUGGCAAGCGUUAUCCGGAUUUACUGGGCGUAAAGCGUGUGCAGGCGGAGCACCAAGUGGUGUAUGAAAUAUCCCGGCUCAACCGGGAGGGGUUAUGCCAGACUGGUGCUCUUGAGGGCGAGAGAGGGAGGCGGAAUUCCGGGUGUAGUGGUGAAAUGCGUAGAGAUCCGGAGGAACCCCA